AUGCUCGCUUCAGCAGCAUGUAUCCUAAAAUUGGAAUGAUACAGAGAAGAUUAUCAGGGCUGCUGUUGAAGGAUAACAUGCAUAUUUGUGAAGCAUUCCAUAUUUUU
Small nuclear RNA from Loxodonta africana (African savanna elephant), 107 nucleotides. The record is from Ensembl. Lineage: Eukaryota; Metazoa; Chordata; Mammalia; Proboscidea; Elephantidae.